UUUCCGUAGGUGAACCUGCGGAAGGAUCAUUAUUGAAACUUGAAUCGUAGCAUUGAGAACUGUUGCUGACCUGUUAAAGGGUAUGUGCACGUUCGACGUGUUGCGUUCUAUUCAUCCACCUGUGCACCUUUGUAGACUUGAUUAACUUUCGCUUUCGAGCGGUUAGAAGGGCUGCUUUCGAGCUCCCUUUGUCUAUCAAGUCUAUGUCUAUAUAAUCUCUUGUAUGUCUAGAAUGUCUUGUUUAUGGGACGCAAGUCCUUUAAAUCAUAUACAACUUUCAACAACGGAUCUCUUGGCUCUC
RNAcentral lists this unclassified non-coding RNA (301 nucleotides) under plant metagenome. RNAcentral describes it as "partial contains small subunit ribosomal RNA, internal transcribed spacer 1, and 5.8S ribosomal RNA". The record is from RNAcentral.